This 447-nucleotide ribosomal RNA is filed under the name uncultured bacterium. RNAcentral describes it as "bacterial SSU rRNA". It matches the Rfam family "Bacterial small subunit ribosomal RNA", at positions 355 to 825 of the family's 1533-position model. The record is from RNAcentral.
UCGGGAAUUUUGGGCAAUGGGCGAAAGCCUGACCCAGCAACGCCGCGUGAAGGAUGAAGUAUUUCGGUAUGUAAACUUCGAAAGAAUAGGAAGAAUAAAUGACGGUACUAUUUGUAAGGUCCGGCUAACUACGUGCCAGCAGCCGCGGUAAUACGUAGGGACCAAGCGUUGUUCGGAUUUACUGGGCGUAAAGGGCGCGUAGGCGGUUUGUCAAGUCAGUUGUGAAAUCUCCGAGCUUAACUCGGAACGGUCAACUGAUACUGUCAAACUAGAGUACAGAAGGGGCAAUCGGAAUUCUAGGUGUAGCGGUGAAAUGCGUAGAUAUCAAGAGGAACACCUGAGGCGAAGGCGGGUUGCUGGGCUGAUACUGACGCUGAAGCGCGAAAGCUAGGGUAGCAAACGGGAUUAGAUACCCGCGUAGUCCCUGAGCGGGCUGGCAAGGCGCAU